UACGUAGGUGGCAAGCGUUAUCCGGAAUUAUUGGGCGUAAAGGGCGUGUAGCCGGGCUGACAAGUCAGAUGUGAAAUCCGGGGGCUCAACCCCCGAACUGCAUUUGAAACUGUUGGUCUUGAGUAUCGGAGAGGCAGGCGGAAUUCCUAGUGUAGCGGUGAAAUGCGUAGAUAUUAGGAGGAACACCAGUGGCGAAGGCGGCCUGCUGGACGACAACUGACGGUGAGGCGCGAAAGCGUGGGGAGCAAACAGG
RNAcentral lists this ribosomal RNA (253 nucleotides) under uncultured bacterium. Its description in RNAcentral is "partial 16S ribosomal RNA". It matches the Rfam family "Bacterial small subunit ribosomal RNA", at positions 524 to 776 of the family's 1533-position model. The record is from RNAcentral.